RNAcentral lists this ribosomal RNA (253 nucleotides) under uncultured bacterium. Its description in RNAcentral is "partial 16S ribosomal RNA". It matches the Rfam family "Bacterial small subunit ribosomal RNA", at positions 524 to 776 of the family's 1533-position model. The record is from RNAcentral.
UACGUAGGGGGCAAGCGUUGUCCGGAAUUACUGGGCGUAAAGGGUGCGUAGGCGGCAGCCUAAGUCAGAUGUGAAAUCCCCGGGCUUAACUUGGGGGGUGCAUUUGAAACUGGGCAGCUAGAGUGCAGGAGAGGGAAGCGGAAUUCCUAGUGUAGCGGUGAAAUGCGUAGAUAUUAGGAGGAACACCAGUGGCGAAGGCGGCUUUCUGGACUGUAACUGACGCUGAGGCACGAAAGCGUGGGGAGCAAACAGG